Oncorhynchus tshawytscha (Chinook salmon) is the source of this 643-nucleotide long non-coding RNA. NCBI's taxonomy places the organism in Eukaryota, Metazoa, Chordata, Actinopteri, Salmoniformes, Salmonidae. The record is from Ensembl.
AAUGUGGAGGCUAUAUACAGGGGGUACCGGUACAGAGUCAAUGUGGAGACUAUAUACAGGGGGUACUGGUACAGAGUCAAUGUGGAGGCUAUAUACAGGGGUACUGGUACAGAGACAAUGUGGAGGCUAUAUACAGGGGGUACCGGUACAGAGUCAAUGUGGAGACUAUAUACAGGGGGUACUGGUACAGAGUCAAUGUGAAGGCUAUAUACAGGGGGUACUGGUACAGAGUCAAUGUGGAGACUAUAUACAGGGGGUACCGGUACAGAGUCAAUGUGGAGGCUAUAUACAGGGGGUACUGGUACAGAGUCAAUGUGGAGACUAUAUACAGGGGGUACUGGUACAGAGUCAAUGUGGAGACUAUAUACAGGGGGGUACCGGUACAGAGUCAAUGUGGAGACUAUAUACAGGGGGUACUGGUACAGAGUCAAUGUGAAGGCUAUAUACAGGGGGUACCGGUACAGAGUCAAUGUGGAGGCUAUAUACAGGGGUACUGGUACAGAGUCAAUGUGGAGACUAAAUACAGGGUGUUACGGUACAGAGUCAAUGUGGAGACUAUAUACAGGGUGUUACGGUACAGAGUCAAUGUGGAGGCUAUAUACAGUGUGUUACGGUACAGAGUCAAUGUGGAGGCUAUAUACAG